UUGAACUGUGUGCAACCAUAUGUACCACUCCGAGUCCAACAAUUCGAACAAAUUCAAAUGAUACCUCUGCGAUCCCAUAUAGGCCACCAUGGAUAUGACUUUGGGCCAGAAAUACCGCAAGUGAACACCAUACUAGGAAGAUGGGAAAGGGUGGUAACUAUCAAUGUUCAAGAGCAUCGACCCUUUUGCACACCUGAAUAUACGUGUGGCUUCUGGAGGAUGCAUAACAUGCAGAUCUAAGCGAGGAAGGUCUUCCAAGUUUUGGUAAUGAAAGGGAAAGAAGAUGGGCUCACAACCUUCUCAACAACAAUUAUGAUAUCACCAGAGAAAUGAGGCAGCAAAUUAUGACUAACAUUGAAGACCUGCAUUGACUGAAGUUUCUUAGAAUUUUUUUUCCCAUGUUAUCCCUAGCCUCUAGCUUAUUUCUAGUUUUGCUUUAGUCUGAUGUAAUAAUUUGAAAUCAUUCAAUAUGUGAAGAUU
This 480-nucleotide unclassified non-coding RNA is filed under the name Hevea brasiliensis (rubber tree). Lineage: Eukaryota; Viridiplantae; Streptophyta; Magnoliopsida; Malpighiales; Euphorbiaceae. The record is from RNAcentral.